GCGUGCGUUUGUGUUUAUUAACCGCUAGCGCGCCAAAAAGCACAUAGUGUUGCUUUAACAGUCCUAAAUGUAACGAAUCUUCUCCAGAUAAUUAUUUGAUACAGUCGAAAUGAAUUGCUGACAGAGAGACGGUGGCAUUUAUAUCUCGGCGUGGAUGAGAAGAGAACCUCAGCUGAGACACAUGUGAACUGUGAACUUACCCUAUGGUUAAAGGUGUGUGUGGAGAUCUGUGUGGGUCAGAUGAGCAUCAGAGAAGAUUCUUCUACUCACAUCCACAAUCAGGAAGUCCAGCCAGCACCAGUAGUUAGUGAAGUAUUUCUUAAAGCCAUACGCGAUCCACUUCAGAAACAUCUCCAGCACGAAGAUGUAGCUGAACACCUUAUCAGCAUAUUCCAACACCACCUUCACCACCUUCCUCUGUUCAAUGUAAAUGUCUUCAAAUGCCUGACCACAAGAAGAAUAUCAUACCACAAGCUCCACUGCUGAGGAGGAUCAUGAAGAUGAUGAAGGUCUCAAACCAGCUGUGUUCCACUAUCUGAUAGCACGUCUUCCUCAACCUCCACCAUGCUUGACCAAGACCUCUCGUCGUGUUGAUAUUGCAACACUUACAGCGCUGUAUACAGACUGGAGAGAUACAGAGAGAUCAGCUCCUGACAAGAUACAGUAUGUCAAAGUGGAAGCAAUGGCCACAUGUGUUUCAUUAUAUCCUUACACUCAGGGAAACACUCUUCUGGAUCCAUGCCAUCAUCUGCCAUCUCCGAAUAUUCCUCCUCAUCUUCCCCAGGCUUCCUCAAGUCCACAGUACUUCCUUCAGAGAGGCUGACGACUUCCUGUUGAACAAGACCGCAAAGCUUGCAUUGAGUUUCAAAUAAAAAUGUACUUCAAAACCAA
This is a long non-coding RNA of Carassius gibelio (silver crucian carp), 891 nucleotides long. RefSeq lists it as uncharacterized. The record is from RefSeq and is a predicted model, not a curated record. The transcript has 4 exons. NCBI's taxonomy places the organism in Eukaryota, Metazoa, Chordata, Actinopteri, Cypriniformes, Cyprinidae.